UUUUUUUUUUUUUUUUUUUUGGUUUUCUGUUUUUUCCUUAUUGAUUUCUCUGUCUCUCUCUCUCUCCUCUAUAAUCACAAUUCCUCUCUGCUUUUAUUAGUUCGUGGAACUUUUAUUUAUACGUGUGUGUUUGUUUGUGAGGGAAUGAAAACAACUUUGCUUUGAGAGUGGAGAGUGGAGAGGAAAGGAGAGAAAAUAUAGGGUCCCUUUGUUUUGGACUGUGCAUGGACAAUGUGGCCCUUUGAUUACUUUUUUUGAUGUAUAAGGCGGCCAAAAUUUUUCUACGUGAUUCAUGCAGCUCCCACUUUAGGAAUGGAGUUCCUUAUAGCAAGUGUUGCCAUGGCCAAAAUUGUCAUAUUUGCACGUUUUGAGGGUUUUACGUAAUUUUAUUUUAUAUACGAUAUAUUGUACUACGAAGAAGAUGAAAGAUCUCCAAAACUUAAUUCGCCUGAUAAAAUAUUAAUUAGCUGUCUGUGAAAUUAUUUAUUCGGCUCUCAAUCCUUCCUCUUUCUCUUACUUCCUCCUUGUAACACACAUAAUCUUUGUUAAACUAGAAAAAAAAGAAGAAGAAGAAGAAGAAAAGAGCAUGACGUAAACGAAUGAUGAAAGAAGUACGAACUAAUUCACAAGAAUAUGUCUAUUGAGAUGUCAAUAUUUGUGUCGGUAUAAUGAGUAUAAUUAUGACCAAUAAAACGAAGCGAGGUGUGUAAAUAAAGAAAGCUAACUUCAUUGUUCAAUCGCUACUUAAGAUAAAACAGACAGCAAAUUAUGGUGGUGGCAGGUGGAUGAGAUGUAAUACUCCCAAAAUUGAAGAUUGAAAAUCGUAGUUUUGACUCAUUCACUAAAAUUAGAUGCAUUGAAAGCAAAUUGCUGCUUUAAUUCAUGCUUAAAUGGAACUUGGUUGUAUUAUUAUGAACCCCACAAUGCUUCCAAUUUGCAAAAGCUUGGGUUAGAUGCUUCUAUCAACAUCAUCGUUAUUCAAUUUGGACUAAUCAUCAUCAUGCAACAUCAAUAUGAGAUUUAUGGUAAUGUAUAUAUAUAUAGACAAUUGCAUGUGGAGAUGGAAGAUUACCAUGGACGUUUAUUAAUUACAUCUCCUCUUCAAUCUCCCAUCAUUAUUCAAUUUGGACUAAUCAUCAGCAUGCAACAUCAAUUUAGGAUGUGAAUGUGUCCUCAAUUUCUCAUGUGAGACUGAUUUUGGAAAUUUUAGGGAUCAAUCUUUUGUACAUGGACAAUAUAUAUACCUUCGCCAUUAAAUGCAUGACAAUUCAUAUAAAUUUAAAUUUGAAAUGAAAAACUUUGUUCAUAUGUCAUACAUCUAACGUUGAUAAUAUAUAAUGUCAGUAUAUAUAAAAUUUAGUCAAACUUUAGAGCAUACAAGGCUAUCUUCAAACUUUAAGGAUUAAUUUUUUAUACACUGACAAUAUAUACACCAUCACCAUUAGUUACAUUAUAAUUCAUAUAAAUUUAAAUUUGAAAUAUAAAUUUUGCUCAUGUAUCAUACAUUUAACGGUGACAAUGUAUUAAACACUGUUAAUGUAUAUAAAAUUUCCUCAAACUUUAGAGCAUACAAAGCUAUUUCAAUUUUUUUUUUUUUGGUUUUGUUGUGGGGGAAAAGAAAUGGCAUAUAGGGAUUUUAACUAAGAAUGGCACGAACUGGAAAGAUGGAAAAUUUUGGCAUGUGAACUGUAAAAGGGCAUUUAAAGAAAUUGGACGACCAAUUUAUAUUUAACAGUAAACUUGAGGAAAUUUAUAUUCAUUCCAGGGCGAAAUGCGUCCGAGAAUAAAGGCGGCUUCUUCAAAUUUAACGCCUCUUCCCGAUUUUGGUUCGUCUCUCAGGUCUCCAUAUACUGAACAGAUAACGAGAAAUGGAUUACGUGGAGCCAUUUAAUCUUUAGCUUCCUGAUAAGUAUUUGAUCUUGAUAAUGAUAACAUGAUAGGCUUUCAAAAGACUGCAUAGGGCCUGUUUGGCACCCUAGUUUUUUAUCAAGUUUUUUAGCUACUAGUUUUUUAACAACUUUUGCUACAGGAACCUUAAAAAACUUUUCAAAGUUUUUUACCUACACACUUCAAAAAUCUAUACACAAAAAAUUUCUCAAAAACUUUUCUUCCUCCCUCACCCAACCCACCACACCAGACACCGCCUCCACCACCUCUCCCGGCGCCGGUCACCUAUUUCGGCGCCGCCGGUAACCUCAAAAAUUUUUUUUUGAAUUUUUGAGUCCCUCACCCUAAAAAAUUUAUUAUAUAUAUAUAUUUAUAAUAUUACAUAUUUAUAUAUUUAUUUAAACAUAUUAUAAAUAUUUUAUUUUAUUUAAAAUAUAUUUUUAUAUAUUUAUAUAAAUAUUAUAUACCAUAUAAAUUAAUAUUAAUAUAAAUAUGUAAUUAUACAUUUAUAUAAAUAUUAUAUACUUAAUAAAUAUAAUACAUAUUAUAUAUAUUACACAUUUAUGUAUAUAUAUUUAUGUAUAUUUAUAUACAAUUAUAUUAUGUAUUAUAUAUAACAUAAUACAUUUAUACAUAAUAUUAACACAAUAUUAAUUAUACAUUUAUACAUAAUACUAAUACAUUUAUACAUUUAUAUUAAUUAUAUUAAUACAUUUAUACAUAAUAUUAUAUAUUUAUAUAUUUAUAAUAUAAUAAUUUAUAUAUUUAUAUAAUAUUCAUUUAUAAUAAUAUACAAUUAUUACAUUUGUAAAUAUAUUUAUAUUAUGUAUUAUAUAUAAUAUAAUACAUUUAUAUAUUUUUAUAUAACUAUAUAAAUAUAUUUAUUUAUAAAUGUAUUAUAAAUGCAUAAAUAUAUAUAAAUAUUUAAACAAUAAAAAUUAUAAAUUAUAAACAAUAUUAAUUAUACAUUUUUACAUAAUAUUAAUACAUUUAUACAUUUAUAUUAAUUAUAUUAAUACAGUUAUACAUAAUCAUCAUAUAUAUUUAUAAUUUAUAAUUUAUACAUUUAUAUAAUAUUCAUUUAUAAUAUAUACAUUUAUAUUAAUUAUACAUUUAUAAAUAUAUGUAUAUUAUGUAUUAUAUAUAAUAUAAUACAUUUAUAUAUUUAUUUAUAAAUAUAUAAAUAUAUUUAUUUAUAAAUAUAUAAAUAUAUAAAUAUAUUUAUUUAUAAAUAUUUAUAAAUGUAUUAUAAAUGCAUAUAAAUAUUUAAACAAUAAAAAUUAUAAAUUAUAAACAAUAUUAAUUAUACAUUUAUACAUUUAUAUUAAUUAUAUUAAUACAUUUAUACAUAAUCAUCAUAUACAUUUAUAAAUUAUAAUUUAUACAUUUAUAUAAUAUUCAUUUAUAAUUUAUACAUUUAUAUUAAUUAUACAUUUAUGCAUUUAUAAAUAUAUGUAUAUUACAUAUUAUAUAUAAUAUAAUACAUUUAUAUAUUUUUAUAUAAAUAUAUUUAUUUCUAAAUAUUUAUAAAUGUAUUAUAAAUGCAUAAAUGUUUAAAAAUAUAAAAAUAUAAAAAUUAUAAAUUAAAAAAUACUCAAAAAUAUGUUUUAAAAAUACCUCUAAAAAUAAUCCAAAAAACGUCUACAGUAACAUUUGAAAAACUUCUACAAAAAAGUUUUUCACCUUACAAAAACUUCUACAAAAUUUUUUCAAAAACUUCUACAGUGUACUACAGUAAAGUUUUAGACAAACUCCAAAAAAACUCAGGUUCCAAACAGGCAUGUUUGGCACUUGAGUUUUUUGCCAAGUUUAUUUGCUACAAGUUUUUUAAAAACUUUAGCUACAGUAAUCUCAAAAAAUUUAUCAAACUUUUUAAACUAUACACUUUAAAAUAUUCGAAAAAAAACACGCUUCAAAAUUUUUUUUAAAAACUUCUACAGUAAGUUAUAGUAAAGUUUUAGACAAACACUCAAAAAACUCACUUGCCAAACGGAGCCUUAAACAUGAUACCUCAGAAAGACCUUUUUCUUUUUUUCAAAGAAACACAAGAACCAAAUCUUUUUCUUUGUUCUGUUGAACAAACCAAUCUAGGCUAUCAUCCUAUGGGCUAAUUAAUAAUUUCUCGAGUCACUCCAUUCAGAAUCUGAAUCUUCUAUAGUUGUAUGUUUUUAACAAUUCAGAUCGACUCAAGCAUGUUUGAUAAUCAAAUUCAGCACUUAAAUUUAAUGAAUUCAGAUUUUAAUAUAAUGUAACGCAUUUGAUAAUAAAAAAAUAAAAUAUCUUAAUUAAUUAAGUGACAUUUAAUUUCUAGACAAAACUUACUCCAAACAAUAAGUGAUAGUAUAUUCACUUAUCAUUUACUACAAAAUAUGAUCAAAAAUUAAGAUUUUAAUACGUAAUAACUCAGUAACUUAAUAGAUUCAUAUUUUAUAUUUUAAAUUUCAUUUUUAUCACAUGCACCCUCAAUUUGAGACAUGGGAUCAGUCGACCUCGGACUGAUUUUGACUGUUGAUUUAAAUUUUGUUAGAAAUUGAAAUCAACCACAGAGAACCGGCAUCACUCACUUUACAUUUCUGUGCAUUGGGCUUGACUUCAUAAAUAAAAUUCUGUCAUGAUAAUUCUCAAGAUUCAGAAACUUAACUCUUUCUUAGCAUAGAGGACUUUCAGAAUUUUUCUUGAGCACAUGAUAUUAGAAUUCUUUCUUCUUUUUUUUUUUUUUAAUCUUUAGUAGUUCAUACAUAUUCACAUUGGUAUUCAAUAAUAAACUUGCUUUGACCCGGAAAAAAAAAAAGCAAAAAAAAAAAAAGGACAAGGCAUUUUCCUUUCUGCAAACCAGAUGAACUGAAAUGAAACUUUCUUAUAACUGAAAUAGAAGCUCAAGUAUCUGAGCAACUUCCAUGGAGUGAACACUUCAUCCUAUUGUGAAAACCUCAAAACAUUUUUAAGACAUUCCAUGUAGAACUUGUCACACAAGGUCACAAAGUUCUGCAUGGAAUUAAGUUCCAGAAAUGGCCUAAGUACUGUUUAGCAAGACAACGUUCAGUCCUAACACAGACAAAACUGGGCAUCACAGCUGUUUAGUAAGAUUUGUCAUAAACUGAACCAGCCUUGAAAGUUUCAGGGUUUCUAGUACAGAUGCAAAAAGAUCUACUGAUGUGACACCAUCAAAACCUUAUAAUCAAAGUACCAAAAACACCACUCCUGUGCUUAUGUCAUUUGUCCAACCAAGAGAUACGGUUUUUUUCUGCAUAUGGUUUUUUCUGCACGACGAAACCUUACUCAUUUUUGGCCAAUUAGUCCAUGUGGUUGAAUGAUGGCACUAUCCGAAAUGAUGGGAGGGAGGAAAUGUUCAACUUAGGCAUGAUGAGAUCCAAUGGAUGUCUCCCAUAAUGGCUUUAUGAAGUCAGUCUACUUCUUCAUGGCUUCAACAGAAACUGGAAAAUGUUUAUGGUAUCUGGUGUCCAGAGCAAGUGAACAAUAAUGCAUGUACAUUCAUGAUGCACCAACUCUUGGGACCAUGGCAGAGAUUAAUCUUCGUCUUGCAUUAUUUGGAACUCAUACUGAGAAAAGCGAAGCAAAUUUUUGUGGGCAUUUGACAAACGAAAAUUCUCAGUAGAUGGACUAAAAGAAAACAACAAAACAAAGGAAACAGAUGUAAACAAUUCAGAUUACAUCAUGGAAAUAGCUUUGUUCCCAUUCAAAAGGCUCAUGCUCUUAUAGAAUCUUAAAUAAGCUUUGGUCCCAUUCGAAAAGCUCAUGCUCUAAUAGAAUCUUACCUGCAGGUUGCCCUGCUUGAUAUGUUGAAGUGAUGAUUAGUCCUUAUUUCAGCAUCUCACCUUGAAAUCAUGUCAAGAAUAGACUGCUCGGUUUAGGAAAACGUAUCACCAUUUCCAUCCUCAAUAUUCUUUAAUCUUUAAUCAUUAAAUUGUACUGACUAAGCCUUGAAAAUGGUUCAGGCGGGAUUGAACUUUUUAGAAUCUACUUAUCUCAUUAUUGUAGGCUAUCCUGGAAACACCAGCUUGUGGAGUUCUGAACCAUUUGGUCCGCAUUACAUUUUAUUCAUCAGCCAAUUCUUGAGACAAUUAAGCUCCAAGAAUAGAGAUAAUGUACACCAGACAAAAGCUUAGAAGCUUGGGCAAUUCACAAGGACUUAGAUGAACACAUGUUAUUUUAGGUUGGUAAAGAUAUACUGGUUUUUCUCAUAAAAGUCGGGUACUCACAAGGCUACAACUACAACCAUAAAAAUAUACAACUAUCCUUGAGCAAAAAGAGCAAAACUAAUAGUACCUUUAUAUCUUAAAGAAAUGGUACUUAGAUUCAGCAUAGCCUUCAGCAUCCCAUAAAAAUGACCCGAAUGCAACUGCCUCCAGUACCAGCAUUGUCAAUCCAGAG
Molecule: long non-coding RNA, 6279 nt
Filed under: Coffea arabica (coffee)
Lineage: Eukaryota; Viridiplantae; Streptophyta; Magnoliopsida; Gentianales; Rubiaceae
Description: long non-coding RNA (CARA_LNC005551)
Source: RNAcentral